RNAcentral lists this long non-coding RNA (2685 nucleotides) under Homo sapiens (human). RNAcentral describes it as "HSALNT0079181". The record is from RNAcentral. Lineage: Eukaryota; Metazoa; Chordata; Mammalia; Primates; Hominidae.
CCCAAAGAAAAAAACAAAUGUUACCCAAUAGGCAAACAAUGCUGAGAGUUCACUUCCUCUAACUCUGUAGUUAAGUUACUCACUCAGUAUAACAUCACCCUCCUGCCAGGGGUUGAAGUCAGGAAGUAGUUUAUUUUCGCUGAAACUGAAGGGGGAAGUUAAAGAGAAAAAUAGCUGCAACUUGGUCAAUUCAGGAAAACCAGGUACGAAAAAAGAGGAGCAAGUUAAAGGGAAAGCCAGCUCGGAUUUGCUCACCAGUAAAAGGCAAAAAUCCCAGUGUUAUUCAUCUGCAUUUGGUGUGAAAGACAAAAGCUCAACUGGGAUCUGAGGCUUUCUGUGUCAGAGGGCAAGGAGUCAAUGGGGUUAUGAGGAAGUAAGACCACUUGAGACAUCAAAGAAAAGUAGAUCAAAUCACUAGACUCCUCCAAACAGGAGUGGGUGAAGACAAAAAGUGGAGAGAAUCCAGAGGGAAGAGAGGAGUAGGGAAAAUGGUGGAAAGGGAAGGUUUUUGAGAUGGAAGGCAGAGAAUGGGAACAAAAGAAGAAAAAGCUGUUUGUUUCAAAUCAAUAUUCUCCAAGAGGAUGUCUUGUUUCCCCAGGGAUAUUCUGAGGGACUCACAGGAUCAGAGCUGCGACACUUCUAACAUAUGAAUUCUCUCAAUUCUGAUGCCCUUUGACCUCUGCCACACAAUGCCAAGACAAACCCAGACCCCAGGCCCUGGAAACAGAGGAGGGGCAGGUACACAAAUAUCCAAGAUUGGAAAGAAGAAAGAAAAUGACGACAGAAUUUUGCAGUCUACAAGGCAAACACUGCCAUUCAUGUAGUUAUGGAGUUCCUACUAUGUGCAGACAAUGGGAAACUUUACGAAGGGACACAGAGGUUCAUGUGAUGUAAUAAGAAAGAAAUAAAGGAAGCUUUAUCUGCCGCUCUUUCAACCUCAUCCACUCAACACUUACCCCGUGACAGACCCCAAUACUCUUAAUGAAUUCCCAAGGUUACGAAAGAACUUGGAAGAUCUUACAUUCCUACAUGGUGAUUACAGAGGCUCACAUUUUGCCAAGUCAUAUGCAGGUGGCUGAAAAAUGUGAUCUAACGUCCUUGAACACAUUUAUUACAAUCCAUCAUCUACAUGGCAACAGUCAGGGCCAUGCUCAUAAACCAGAACUGGUGCUAGAUCUGGUAAGUCAUUAAGCAAACAUAUUCCUGUGUUGUGCGUGGCGUGCAUGCCCACUGCCUGCCUAUAAAACGGAAAUAAGAUUUCUGAUUUGCAAAUUACCUCCUAAGACAUGUAAAGCUAGCUCCUUUAAUCCACAUUACUCAUUUUUGUAUUUUGACUGUUUCAAAUGCUAAAACAGACCUGAAUACAGUUUCCACAGUUCUCUUUAUAAUUAUUGUAUUUUUCAUUUACAUGAUCAUGAAACCUGUUAGCAAGUGAGAAACAGAAUCAUUUUCACUGAGACAAAAAAUAUUGAGAAUUAGGGGGAGAAACUCUGAAGCAAUAUAAACAACAGAGUCUAAUCUUAUCAAAGAGAGAAGGCAGUUGGUGAAUCUGAAAGAUCACUUACUUACCACUCAAUCAUAGAACUUAUACCCCCAAAUAGGAUUUAAGAAAGAAAAAAGCAAUUUAGUAGGAACUGGAAGUUAUAGGGCAUAGGUCUGCUUUAGUUGGUGACAAAAAUUAUGCCUCAGAGGUUAAGAGCAUGGAUUAGGGUGCUGGGUUGCCUGGUUUAAAUCCUAGCUCUGGCACUUACUACUGCAUGGUCCUUGACCAGUUAUUUAACUACUCUGUGCCUCGGCUUCCCAGUGUGGAAAGCAGAAAAACAGUAUCUCCCUUACAGAGAGGCUUUAAAGUUUAAAUGCAUUAACAAAGGGAAAAUCCUUUCAAUGUUGACACAUCAUGAGUGUGACAUAAGUAUUACCUAUUAUUUUUAUUAUGUGACCAAAUGUGGAAGAAAAAUUCUAUAAGAAAGUAGUAACAUUGUUUAGUCUUUCAAAAAUCAUAUAUUCUCCUCCAAUCCUGGCUCUCUGCAAUUCAAGAAAUCCUAACAAAUAGAAAACCUUUGUACACAGGAGAAAACGGAGAUGAGCAAAGGCAAUAUUUGGCUUAUUUGUUAUAACCCUAAUAAAACAAGACUGCUUGAAGAAAUAGACCAAAUUGUGGAAUGUUUAACAUUGAUCCAGGACUGGCUCUUCUGAGGAAAAGAUAUAAUAUUUAUCAUGUGGCCAAUUUUGUCUGUGAAGAUAAGGAGGAACUAAUCGGUCUCAACUUCAUGAUGUUGCUUAAAGGAGCAUAUAAAUGUACGAUCAUAAGUAUCCUUUAAAUGAAGGGGUUGGUUUUAUGACUGCAGAAGUGAGAAAGAGUAAGGUCAUUUAGCCUGAGCAACACAGCAAAACCUUGUCUCUACUAAAAAUUAAACAAAACAACCAAAAAAUCACUCAGGUGUGGUGGCGCAUGCCUGUGGUCCCAACUACUCAGGAGGCUGAGGUGGGAGGAUUGCUUGAGCCUGAGAGGUGGAGGUUGCAGUGAGCCUUGAUUGCGCCACAGCACUCUAGCCUGGGUGACAGAGCAAGACUGUCAAAAAAGGAAAGAAAAGAAAGAAAAGAAAAAGAAAGAAACUAAAACAGAAAGAAAAGAAAGAAAGAAUGGGAGAGAGAGAGGAAGGAAGGAAGGAAGGAGAAAGAAGA